CGCAAGCCUGACGGAGCAACGCCGCGUGAGGGAGGAAGGCCUGUGGGUUGUAAACCUCUUUUCUCAGGGAAGAAGCUCUGACGGUACCUGAGGAAUCAGCCUCGGCUAACUCCGUGCCAGCAGCCGCGGUAAUACGGAGGAGGCAAGCGUUAUUCGGAAUUAUUGGGCGUAAAGCGUCCGCAGGGGGCUCAUCAAGUCUGCUGUCAAAGGUCGGAGCUUAACUCCGGUUCGGCAGUGGAAACUGAAUGGCUAGAGUGCCGUAGGGGUAGAGGGAAUUCCCGGUGUAGCGGUGAAAUGCGUAGAGAUCGGGAAGAACAUCGGUGGCGAAAGCGCUCUACUGGACGGCAACUGACACUCAGGGACGAAAGCUAGGGGAGCG
Molecule: ribosomal RNA, 379 nt
Filed under: uncultured cyanobacterium
Lineage: Bacteria; Bacillati; Cyanobacteriota
Description: bacterial SSU rRNA
Rfam family: Bacterial small subunit ribosomal RNA
Source: RNAcentral